CCUACGGGAGGCAGCAGUGAGGAAUAUUGGGCAAUGCCCGAAAGGGUGACCCAGCAACGCCGCGUGGAGGAUGAAGUCCUUCUGGACGUAAACUCCUUUUAGAGGGGACGAAAAGCCCGAUUUGUCGGGAAUUGACGGUACCCUCAGAAAAAGCACCGGCUAACUACGUGCCAGCAGCCGCGGUAAUACGUAGGGUGCAAGCGUUGUCCGGAUUCACUGGGUGUAAAGGGUGAGCAGGCGGGCUCUUAAGUCAAAGGAGAAAUCGCUGGGCUUAACCGAGAAAUGGCCUUUGAGACUGAGAGCCUUGAGGACGGGAGAGGGAGAUGAAAUUCCAGGUGUAGCGGUGAAAUGCGUAGAGAUCUGGAGGAACACCGAAGGCGAAGGCGGUCCCCUGGCCCGUAACUGACGCUCAGGCACGAAAGCGUGGGGAGCAAACAGGAUUAGAUCCCCUGGUAGU
Molecule: ribosomal RNA, 457 nt
Filed under: uncultured Ignavibacteria bacterium
Lineage: Bacteria; Pseudomonadati; Ignavibacteriota; Ignavibacteria
Description: partial 16S ribosomal RNA
Rfam family: Bacterial small subunit ribosomal RNA
Source: RNAcentral